RNAcentral lists this non-coding RNA (21 nucleotides) under Caenorhabditis elegans. The record is from RNAcentral. Lineage: Eukaryota; Metazoa; Nematoda; Chromadorea; Rhabditida; Rhabditidae.
UAUUGUUGCUGCGUUGUGGAG